Aedes aegypti (yellow fever mosquito) is the source of this 4590-nucleotide RNA transcript. It is a transcript of the gene named armadillo segment polarity protein, with no coding region annotated. Lineage: Eukaryota; Metazoa; Arthropoda; Insecta; Diptera; Culicidae. The transcript has 7 exons. The record is from RefSeq and is a predicted model, not a curated record.
UUAUGAAUCAAGAAGACAGAAAAAAAAUCAUUCAAUCAUUCGCUGGUUGGUUGGCAGGCCAACUUUUCCGAGUAGAAAGUUUGCUCAAAGUGCAAUUUGGUGGUGAAAAGUGCAUCCAAAACCAGAAAAGUAGCAGCAAUUCGGUAAACGGUGUGGAUUCUUUUCGCCCGUGGUUACCAAUAUGAGCUAUCAAAUGCCGCAAAAUCGAACAAUGUCCCACAACCCCUACAAUUCAUCGGAUAUGCCGAUGCCCUCGGCGAAGGAGCAAACGCUGAUGUGGCAACAGAACUCGUACUUGGGUGAUUCCGGCAUCCAUUCGGGUGCGGUCACGCAGGUGCCAUCGCUCAGUGGCAAAGAUGACGACAUGGAAGACGACCCGCUGAUGUUCGACAUGGAUCAAGGUUUCUCGCAGAACUUCACCCAAGAUCAGGUGGACGACAUGAAUCAGCAGCUCAGCCAGACACGUUCCCAGCGUGUUCGAGCCGCCAUGUUCCCGGAAACCCUCGAAGAGGGUAUCGAAAUUCCGUCAACACAAUUCGACCCACAACAACCGACAGCGGUACAGCGAUUGUCCGAACCGUCGCAGAUGCUUAAGCAUGCCGUUGUCAACUUGAUUAACUAUCAGGACGAUGCUGAUCUGGCUACUCGAGCUAUUCCAGAGUUGAUCAAGCUCUUGAACGAUGAAGAUCAGGUUGUGGUUUCCCAGGCUGCCAUGAUGGUGCACCAGUUGUCAAAGAAGGAAGCUUCACGUCACGCUAUUAUGAACAGCCCACAGAUGGUCGCAGCUUUGGUUCGUGCUUUGUCCCAGAGCAAUGAUCUAGAGACCACUAAAGGAGCUGUAGGGACGUUGCACAAUUUGUCGCACCAUCGGCAAGGUUUGCUAGCAAUUUUCAAAUCUGGUGGAAUCCCAGCACUCGUUAAGCUGCUAUCGUCGCCGGUUGAAUCUGUGCUGUUCUAUGCAAUCACAACGCUUCACAAUUUACUGCUCCAUCAAGAUGGCAGCAAAAUGGCAGUCCGUUUGGCUGGUGGCUUACAGAAAAUGGUAGCUUUGUUGCAGCGCAACAAUGUUAAAUUCCUGGCUAUUGUUACGGAUUGUCUGCAGAUUCUUGCCUACGGAAAUCAAGAAAGCAAACUUAUUAUCCUUGCUUCCACUGGACCAAGUGAAUUGGUUCGCAUUAUGCGCUCAUAUGACUAUGAGAAGCUUCUUUGGACGACCUCCCGUGUGCUGAAGGUCUUGUCCGUUUGUUCGAGCAACAAGCCAGCCAUCGUUGAGGCUGGUGGCAUGCAAGCCUUGGCCAUGCAUUUAGGAAAUCCAUCACAGCGUCUCGUUCAGAACUGCCUCUGGACGUUGCGUAACCUUUCCGAUGCCGCCACAAAGGUUGACGGUUUAGAAACGCUUCUCUCUGGCUUGGUCACAGUUUUGGGCUCGUCGGAUGUGAACGUUGUCACUUGUGCUGCCGGCAUCCUGUCCAAUCUGACGUGCAACAACCAACGCAAUAAGGUCACGGUAUGUCAAGUUGGCGGCGUUGAGGCUCUGGUCGGUACCAUCAUCAAUGCGGGCGAUCGCGAAGAAAUUACGGAGCCAGCCGUUUGCGCUCUGCGUCACCUAACUUCGCGCCAUCCGGAGUCCGAAUCGGCGCAGAACAUCGUUCGCAAUGGCUACGGAUUGCCAGUGAUUGUGAAGCUACUUAAUCCACCGUCCCGUUGGCCACUGAUCAAGGCCGUCAUCGGACUGAUUCGUAAUCUGGCGCUCUGCCCAUCCAAUGCAGCACCAUUGCGGGAACAUGGUGCGAUUCAUCUUCUGGUGCGGUUGCUGUUUAAGGCGUUCCAGGAUACGCAAAGGCAACGUUCAUCGGUAGCCACCAACGGGUCGCAGCCACCGGGUGCCUACGCCGACGGGGUGCGUAUGGAGGAGAUCGUUGAAGGCACUGUUGGUGCGUUACACAUCCUCUCGAAGGAGGAACUGAACCGGCAGCUUAUCCGCCAGCAGAACGUGAUUUCGAUCUUCGUCCAGCUGCUCUUCUACAACGACAUCGAAAACAUUCAGCGCGUUGCUGCCGGUGUCCUGUGCGAGCUGGCCGUCGACAAGGAAGUGGCCGAGAUGAUCGAAGCCGAGGGUGCCACCGCACCGCUGACUGAACUGCUCAAUUCCGCUAAUGAGGGUGUUGCCACCUAUGCGGCCGCCGUCCUGUUCAAGAUGAGCGAGGACAAAUCGAUGGACUACAAGAAGCGUUUCUCCAGCGAACUGACCACCCUGCCGGUGUUCCGCGACGAUACGAUGUGGAACAACGGCGAGCUCGGGAUAGGGCCGGAUUUGCAGCUAAACCAGCCUAACAUAUAUCAUCACUGAAGAAGCAAAAAUCUAACAAGAAAUAAUACUAAAGAAUUGCGUUGCAAUACUACUUUUAUUUGCCUACUUAGUCCUAUUAACAUCUCAAUUUUGUUUAUUUAUUGUAUCAAAAUUUCUAAUAAACCAUAAUUUCCUUUUCUGUUAAUUUAACCCUAUGUAGCCUUCAGUUCCUUUUCCUGACAUAUGAAGCUUAUGUUUGUUACCAUUGGAAAAACUAGCUGAUUAGUAUCAAAAAUCUACUAGCUCAUUCUUUCGUUUCCUAGCUGGAUAGUGCCAAAUUGUGCUGAAAUGAUACUCACAAGUUUUAUAACAGCACUUAAAGGGCAUUAUUGUGGGCUAGUUUUGGUUUAGCAAUCAGUAUUCUUCCCCUAUUUUGUUCUCACAGCCUUUUCUUGAUAUUACUGUAUGUUAGUAUCAGUAGAAACAGUGGUAGGAAAAACAACCUAACGGUAAUUCAUAAUUAAAGGCAACAUGGUGUAAAACAAAUCUCGAAAUAAAGCAAGUUGUUUGUUAAUGAAAACAGAAAUAUGUAAGAUGUCGACGCAUACAGUAGAUUCAUUUUUUGAAAUAUCGACAUAAAACGAACACACCUCACUGGGUGUAACGAAAUUAGAGGAAUGCGUUUCAAACACAGGAAGAAAAUCUCUGCAGCGGCAAUCGUGUAGCAGCGCUCAACGUCCAAACAAUGCUGAGGGCAGUAGUAAACAUCGCACGUCACAAUAUCUGCGUUCUUCAAUUACCGGAGCACGUUUGUGAGCGAAUAUGUGUGUAUGCGGAAUCGGUCUUCUUUCAAAACUUACCAUAGGAUAUGACACACUGCCGAUAGACUCGAUGCAGGGCCUGGAGAUCGGCGGAGGCGGUAACGCCGGUCCGGCUGGCAGCAACCCGAACGCGGGCAACAAUCCAGGUGCCGGUGGGCCCCCAUCCGGCCAGCCAACGUCGCCCUACGCGAUGGACAUGGACGUCGGCGAGAUGGACGCCAGCGAACUGACGUUCGAUCACCUGGAUGUUAUGCCAUCGCCACCGCAGGAUAACAACCAGGUGGCCGCCUGGUACGAUACCGAUUUGUAAACGGUUUUCGAAUCGAUUUUUUUACAAUUUUCCCUACGUAGCGUAUUAUUUUUGUCUCUUAUCAUACACACACACAUUUUAUUCGUAACACGAUGUGCUUCCAACACAUAUUGAGAGGAUUUCUCAACGAGAGAGAGUGCAGCUUCUAACACAUUUGUCAGAUUUUUGUCCAUCUCUUACCCUGAUUGUGAUACAAAAUAUUCGAUUCUCUCCUCCUUUAUUCUAAAGCAGCUUGUAUCGUGUCAAUGUAUGUUGGAAGCUUGCUCUUAAAUCUACUUUUAAACUUAUUAAAUUUUAUGUAUUUUUACAUAAUAAAGCUAUUGAAAUCAAACUAAUGUCUAAAAUAAAUUAGGUAACUAAUUAUCAGUUUAGAACUACUUCAGAAUUUUUAUUAUAUUCAUAUAUUUAUACAUGAACUUGAACUAUGACAGCAGCUUCUCAUAUAUUUUUUUAAAAACUUUGGUGUUUACUACUGCAAUUAAUGAGUUGAAGCACUGGCUUGCCAGUCGCUCCAACGGAGCAGCAACGAUUAGACAAAUUUGAGCAAUCGAGUCAAUCGAACGAUUAAAAACGCAAUGAAACAAAAUUUUGAUGAGUACACAAUUCAGUAUUGGCGAUAAAGAAGAGAAAAACCUGAAAGCAAAAUGAAAGAGGUCUACAUAAUACAGAAAAAAUAGUAUAAAUGUUAUCAUGCAGCUAAGGGAAAACUAUGAUCAAUUUGUAUCAGAAACAAAUCGAGUAACGCCGCAAUCUGUGCGAUUGUUUAGAAAUAAAACGGAAACUGAUGCGUAGUAGAAACGUUAAACACACAAUACAAUUCCAUAACGACGAUAAAUUUUCAACAUUGAUUACAAAGGAGUAGCGAAACGACCCAGCCUUGUUUUUCUCUACGUAUAAUGGUUUUAAUUUAAAUUUCUAUGAUAGCAAUAGUAUGAAACAAAAUUUUGUUCUUUCCUUGUACCCGACGCAAACGCGAUCCUAGACUCAAAAACAAGAGACAAACGAGAGAGCACUGUAAUGCAUCACGCAUCAAUGAUGAACUAUUACGAUUUUUGAAAAUUGAUUCUAUAUUGAAAUUAUUAUACAUUAUGAUUAAAAAGUGAAACGAACCUUCCUUUCAGUAUAUAAGAGAACGUGAGGAGAAAAAUAUAUUAAAUGCUAUACAACAA